GGGAAUAUUGGACAAUGGGGGCAACCCUGAUCCAGCAAUGCCGCGUGUGUGAAGAAGGUUUUCGGAUUGUAAAGCACUUUCGGCGGGGACGAUGAUGACGGUACCCGCAGAAGAAGCCCCGGCUAACUUCGUGCCAGCAGCCGCGGUAAUACGAAGGGGGCUAGCGUUGCUCGGAAUGACUGGGCGUAAAGGGCGUGUAGGCGGUUUGUACAGUCAGAUGUGAAAUCC
This 228-nucleotide ribosomal RNA is filed under the name uncultured bacterium. RNAcentral describes it as "partial 16S ribosomal RNA". It matches the Rfam family "Bacterial small subunit ribosomal RNA", at positions 357 to 602 of the family's 1533-position model. The record is from RNAcentral.